RNAcentral lists this ribosomal RNA (482 nucleotides) under uncultured bacterium. RNAcentral describes it as "partial 16S ribosomal RNA". It matches the Rfam family "Bacterial small subunit ribosomal RNA", at positions 33 to 507 of the family's 1533-position model. The record is from RNAcentral.
CUUUCACUCUGGCGGCAUGCCUUACACAUGCAAGUCGAACGGUAACAGGUCUUCGGAUGCUGACGAGUGGCGAACGGGUGAGUAAUACAUCGGAACGUGCCCGAUCGUGGGGGAUAACGAAGCGAAAGCUUUGCUAAUACCGCAUACGAUCUACGGAUGAAAGCAGGGGACCGCAAGGCCUUGCGCGACCGGAGCGGCCGAUGGCAGAUUAGGUAGUUGGUGGGAUAAAAGCUUACCAAGCCGACGAUCUGUAGCUGGUCUGAGAGGACGACCAGCCACACUGGGACUGAUACACGGCCCAGACUCCUACGGGAGGCAGCAGUGGGGAAUUUUGGACAAAGGGCGAAUGCCUGAUCCAGCCAUGCCGCGUGCAGGAUGAAGGCCUUCGGGUUGUAAACUGCUUUUGUACGGAACGAAAAGACUCUGGUUAAUACCUGGGGUCCAUGACGGUACCGUAAGAAUAAGCACCGGCUAACUACGUG